CCUACGGGUGGCAGCAGUGAGGAAUAUUGGUCAAUGGACGAGAGUCUGAACCAGCCAAGUAGCGUGAAGGAUGACUGCCCUAUGGGUUGUAAACUUCUUUUAUAUGGGAAUAAAACGUUCCACGUGUGGGAUUUUGUAUGUACCAUAUGAAUAAGGAUCGGCUAACUCCGUGCCAGCAGCCGCGGUAAUACGGAGGAUCCGAGCGUUAUCCGGAGUUAUUGGGUUUAAAGGGAGCGUAGGUGGAUUGUUAAGUCAGUUGUGAAAGUUUGAGGCUCAACCGUAAAAGUGCAGUUGAAACUGGCAGUCUUGAGUACAGUAGAGGUGGGCGGAAUUCGUGGUGUAGCGGUGAAAUGCUUAGAUAUCACGAAGAACUCCGAUUGCGAAGGCAGUUCACUGGACUGCAACUGACACUGAGGCUCGAAAGUGUGGGUAUCAAACAGGAUUAGAUACCCUAGUAGUC
This 460-nucleotide ribosomal RNA is filed under the name uncultured bacterium. RNAcentral describes it as "partial 16S ribosomal RNA". It matches the Rfam family "Bacterial small subunit ribosomal RNA", at positions 338 to 795 of the family's 1533-position model. The record is from RNAcentral.